Long non-coding RNA from Oncorhynchus tshawytscha (Chinook salmon), 2418 nucleotides. NCBI's taxonomy places the organism in Eukaryota, Metazoa, Chordata, Actinopteri, Salmoniformes, Salmonidae. The record is from Ensembl.
UAACCACUAGGCUACCCUCACGCCCCAUAUAAGAAUUUCAGCUAGUGAAUGCCAUCAAUAAAACAUAACAUUCAUUUCAAACAUACAAAACCAAAACAUUUCAUUCAAACAUACAAAACCAAAACAUUUCAUUCAAACAUCACUCCGCUUUACACACAUAAAUAACAACAUGAAACAGUUUUGUAAUAAUAUAUCUAUAUGGUUUAAUAUUGAAUUAGUCUCCUGUGUUACACAUGAUAAACACGAACCGAUAGGAUACAUGUAAUGUUAAUAGCACCUCUAGACACUAUAGUGCUCAUUGUUUAAGUACGGUGUUUAUAUAGCUAGCCCAUACAACUACUGUAUAGUCAUGGUCUAUGUAGACCAGUCUACUAAGACAUUGGGUUUACACUGUAAUGUAUAGAAUCAACGAAUGGUAGACACAAUAUGACUGGUUUUAAUGCAGCAGUAGGAAGCGGUAGUUAGGUACAUGAAAACCUUUAAAGUGUUCGAGGAGAGAGAUGCUUUUCCAACUUUGAUUCGGGUAUUACAUUGUUGAUUUCUAUUAUGGUAAAUGUAGGCCUUUCUUUUCCUUGGAACUGGACGUUUACUAGACCCACUAACCCAACCUCACAUGUGCAGAACUACCAACCUCUCUUAAUUUGAAACAUUAGAUUUAACACUAGAACAGACCAUAAGGAAACAAUGACCCUCCAUUGUGAAAACAUUAACUCUGUCUCCAUAAGCCUUAAUAUACACACGGUCUUCUCACCAGCCAGAAGGAACAUAGAAAAGUCAAUUCCUCAGAGGUCGAAAUUCAAACCACUUUUCUUCCAGCUGAAGGCCACAGAAUCAACCCUACUGGACUACAGGCUCUAUCUUUUAGCUUAUCCCAAGAACUACAAAUCCCAACAGGCUUUACAAAAAACACUCAACGUCCCGGCCCUAACCUAGCUGGCCGGCGGGACCUGCCUGGUUUCACUUUUUGACAAACAUUUUUUAUUUUUUAUAAUGAACGCAAAACGCAAACAAUCACACUUCUGAGAACCAACUCAUCAGCUCCAACAUACCCUGGUUUAAGGACAUGUUAACUAAACAGGGACCUUUUAAAUGUCCCUUCUCUUUCCUUCGAGUGUAACAUAUCCAUUAUCAUGUUAGACAUGAUCACACAGAUUCAAAGCAUUUGAUCAAUUAACAGGGUUGGCCAGUAAGUGCUUUUUCAUGAAAAACAUAAACAUACUCACACAAUUAAAUACCAAGUUCCAUAACCCACAAUCCUUCAGAUCUGAUACUAUGGAUGCUUAUCUCUCUCUAAUAGCAACACAGCACUGAAAACUCUUUAAGAUACAGUAAAUAUAUUGAUUGUGAGCCAAUCAAGCACCGAUCCAUCACCAAGCAUCUUAGAGUGCAAAGACUAUAAAGAGAUGGCUGUAAAGUAAUGCUCUCUGUCUAAUAGUACCUAUUCAAUACUACUUUCUCUUGUUACUCAUUUGGCUAUUGAUGUACAUUUCCACAUCAUUCUGAUGUGGGGUUGCAACAUUCCAGGAAGGUUGUAUACAUUCUAGAACUCCUGGUUGGAGGAUCCUGGAAGGUUGCAACCACAUUCUGACCCAAAGUGCUAUACCAGUAGUACCACCACUACCAUUCCUCCUUAACCAAUACCCACCAACCAGCCCUAACUAACGCAAUACCCACUACCAUUCCUCCUUAACCAAUACCCACCAACCAGCCCUAACUAACGCAAUACCCACUACCAUUCCUCCUUAACCAAUACCCACCAACCAGCCCUAAUUAACCCAAUACCCACCAACCAGCCCUAACUAACCCAAUACCCACUACCAUUCCUCCUUAACCAAUACCCACCAACCAGCCCUAAUUAACCCAAUACCCACCAACCAGCCCUAACUAACGCAAUACCCACCAACCAGCCCUAACUAACCCAAUACCCACUACCAUUCCUCCUUAACCAAUUAACCCGAUACCCACCAACCAGCCCUAAUUAACCCAAUACCCACCAACCAGCCCUAACUAACGCAAUACCCACCAACCAGCCCAAACUAACGCAAUACCCACCAACCAGCCCUAACUAACGCAAUACCCACCAACCAGCCCUAAUUAACCCGAUACCCACCAACCAGCCCUAAUUAACCCGAUACCCACCAAACAGCCCUAAUUAAGUCAAUACCCACCAACCAGCCCUAACUAGCCCAAUAUCCACCAACCAGCCCUAACUAACCCAAUACCCACCAACCAGCCCUAACUAACCCAAUAUCCACCAACCAGCCCUAAUUAACCCAAUACCCACCAACCAACCCUAACUAACACAAUAUCCACCAACCAACCCUAAUUAACCCAAUAUCCACCAACCAACCCUAAUUAACCCAAUACCCACCAACCAGCCCUAACUAACCCAAUACCCACCAACCAGCCCUAAUUAAC